Molecule: long non-coding RNA, 4633 nt
Filed under: Sus scrofa (pig)
Lineage: Eukaryota; Metazoa; Chordata; Mammalia; Artiodactyla; Suidae
Description: lncRNA (ENSSSCG00000058356.1)
Source: RNAcentral
UCUUGCCACUCGAAAAAUUGUUUUUAAAAGAUGCUUUCAAAAGCGUAACUUUCCCCCACAAUAACUGUUAGGAUUUUUGAUGGAAAGAAUGCUAUUAUUUUCAAGCUUACAAUAAGAGAGAAUCUUUUAGAGUUUAUAUCUUAUUGAUUUUAGCAAAAAUAAAAACAAAAACAAAGCAGUACCCCAGGUAUAAGGGGACUGUCAGCUCCCAGCCAUUAUGACCCAUCUCCAAGCGCCACUGUAUGACUGGACAUUUAUCUCUUCAUUCUUUUACAACAAACCAGUGUGUAUUUAAUAGUUUUAUUAGCAUCUUAGAGAAAACUAUAUAUAUAUAUGCAGCAUAUUUGAUUUGAAUAAUUAUGCAAAUUAAAAUAGAAUUAAUUUUUAAUUCUUUUUACUAUCUAGUUCUAAAAAUGUACACUAAAAAAGAUAAAAUGAAAAGUACAGUGGACAUUUUAUGCAGCACCUGCUUAAUAUAAGAUUUUAAAAUGUGUUAAUGAAACUAAUAGGAUAAAAAAAAAUUCAUGAAAAGAUACUAGACUGUGGUUAUAAAACCUAUACCUGACAGUCCCUUCUUUGGCCAAGCCAUUAUAGUAGGAGAUGCAGUCAUCUGAAACCUACUACAACUCAGAUAAUUGCCAAGUUGUUAUUAGGUCAGCUUAUCUUUUUUUCUUUUUCUCUUUUCUCUCUUUUUUUUUUCUUUUUUCUUUUUUCUUUUUGUCACUCCUGUGGCAUAUGGAAGCUCCUGGGCCAGGGAUCAAAUCCGAGCCACAGCUGCAACCUAUGCCACAGCUGUGGCAACGCCAGAUCCUUUACCAACUGCUCCUGGCUUGGUACUGAAUUUGUGCCUCAGCAGUGACCCAAGCCGCUGUAGUCGGAUUCUUAACUCGCUGUACCACAGCAAGAAUGCCAAAGUCAGCUUGUCUUUUCUUAAAAAACUGCUCCAGAAGAUUUUCCUUGUUAACCUCAGCAUCACAUAAUGUUGGCUUGUUUUAAACUUUGCUGCAACUCUUGAAGGAAGUCUUCUAAAGAGUUCAUUUAUUUGUGGCAGACAGGCCUUGAAAUGUUUUUUCUUAAGCUCUUCCUGAUGUCUAGAAAUAGAAUUAUUCCAAAAUUAGACUUUGUAUACAUUUUAAACAGGCUUUGAUUUUUUUUUUUUAUAAUGCAUUGAUGAUUAAGGAUUUUGGUUCCCUUUCUUCCAUCAAAUUGAGAGCUCUAUAAUCAGCUGAAAAGUUGAAUUAAUGAAGAAAUUUUGAUCAGAUGUAUUGAAGACUUAUGACCGGCUCUCACAGGGCCAAUGCUGUCUUCUGCUGAAGACCCUGGACAUACCUGUUCAUUGUAGUGUAUCUGGGCCUCUUCUUGGAAUGGAACUACCCAAUCUCUUUUUGGUCAAGGGCUAUUUUGUAAGUUCAAAUAGAGUUAUAUAAAAUAAUGUGGAAAAAACCCAAAGUAUUGUUAUGAUAAUCAAGUGGAAGUUUAGUUAAGUGUAUACUAAAUGCUUUGAGAUUUUGAAAGCCUCAUGCUCAAAGGGGAAUACUGGGAGUAGCCAUAAAGACACACCUGGAAGCUUGCUAGAAACUCAGAACUGAGGCUCCACUGCAGACUACUGAACUGGAUUUGCAUUUUAAUAAGAUUCCUAAGGCAAUUAAUAUGCACAUUAAAUGUUAAGAAGCACUGAAAAGCAACCCUGAGAAGUGUAUAUGGUGAUCCCAGUUCUUCAGAUAAGGAAUCUAGGCUCAGAGAGGCGAAAUUGUAUAACUUGAGAACCUAAGCUCAAGUCUGUUCGAAGCUCACUUUCACACAUUUCUACCACACUUCCUUGCUUUCAGUGCACUGUAGCCAGUUUUUAAAGACAAGUGCAAAAUCGUUGUCCAUUUUUUAUACUAUUUUUUUUUACUAACUUUUGACUUAUUCUGGCAAUAUUCUCCAAAAGGACCUGCACUUACACAAAUUCUGAUGACAGUGAAGCCAUGCAUUGCUGAAGGAGACCAAGUUUGGUGGGAAGAUCAAUAGCAUGGAUUUUUGUGGCUUUGCACAGUUCUAUUUUUGAGUGCUUGGAGGAUCUUAUUUAUUAGAGUGUGUUUGCAGAAACUGUCAGUAAACAUCUUUUCUUUGUUAAUAUUUAACCCACCAACUCUUUCAUGCUUCCAUCUUUUCCAGUCCCACAGUCCCACAUGCUUUUUAAUCCACUAAUAGCACCAAACUGUCUCCAUGGUGCAAUAAAAGUCUUUUAUUUUAUGACUUCCUUGAAUUACUACCCUAACUUAUAAUUUGCCAGAUUUGUUUUUGCCUUCAAAUCCCUUACUUCACUGUAGCCACAUGAAAAAUGUUGCACCCUAUGCAUUUUCCUCCCCAAACUCUAAUGUUUAUUUUUAAUAUACUAAUAGUUCUUGCCCAGAAUAAUUUAGUCUUGCUGACAUUUGGAAUGUUUUAUUCAUUCAAAAGAACUUUUAGCAAGUUUUUCUAUAAAAUAUUAGGAAAUAUUUGAAGUAGUUCUAAUGAUUGUUGAAAUCUAGUAAACUUUAAUUACAUUACAAAAUUGACAACCCUCGAAGAAUUUAGGAAAACUACAAAAAAAAUUAAAUUGGCUAUUUAAAUGUUUUCUAAACUUGCUUUUUAAUGCUAAGGUAUUUUCAGAGGAAACAUAGGCUGAGUUUUCUGAAAUCAAGAGAGCUGCUUUUUGAGUGACAGUCGUAAAUACCUUGAUCUUAUCUGAAAAGAGUGAGAGAGUGUGAUUUGAGUUGAAGGUAAUUUUAUUUUCAUUGUAUUUAUUUAAGAGCCAGAAGGUGGGGAAGGGUUUAGUUUAUAGCUUCCUGUCCUAAGGAAGGGGAGAUAAAGUAAUGAAUAUGAGAUGUAUCUAAUCAUCAGUCCUCUUUCUUUUAUCAUAGUUCCAAGGAUUAGCACUAGCUGUCUGUGUCUGUGCAUGCAUACCUGUGCGUGCAUCUGUGUGCAUGUGUGUGUGUGUAUAGAAAAAGACUAAGCAGAAGGAAAGAACAGUACAGAAAUGACAGUGGUGAAUAUCCCUUCCACUCUCACAUUCACCUUAGAAACUGUCAUUUAUAAGAUACAUGUCAUUUAUAUGAUAGAGGCUCUUCCCAGGGGGUCAAUGUCUAGGAGGUCUAGGUCUCUAACUCAGAAUCUGCCCCCUACUUGUACAAUUUCCUUGUCUUGAGUCUUCAACAAUGCAGGCUCUCCCAAUUGAAAGAGAAUAGCUUGUCACAUUCUCAGCAGGGAGUGAGUUAGUUUCAAGCUGUGUAUCUCUCAGCCUGGAACUUUUUUGCUCAGGAUGCCAGGGAACUAUGGCAAGUUGCACACAGCUAAACCAAGACCAAAUGCUUUCUAGAAUUCCAGCUAAGAAGAUUCAGAACAUGUAAGGGAGGGUCAGUUACUCUUCAGCACAUGCCAAGCAUCUGAGUUAGACUAUUGAACAACAACAAAAAAAGUGCAGAUUGAAUUACUGGGGAAAAUGUGUUUGUGGCCACAUAGCUAGAUAUACUAAUUAGGAAAUACAGAGGAAAGUUAUAUUUUUUCUAACCCAUUUUACUCCUGAAAUAGUCAAGAAGGACAUGAAACGUUGACUUGGGAAAUUCAUUCUGGCUAAUAGUCACUGAUAUAAUUUCAAUAGAAACAUAUUUUAUAGUUGGUUUUACUAAGUUAAUUACUGAUCUCUGCAGCUUAUAUAGUUCCUAACAUGUAGCAAGCCCUCAGGAAAUAUUUAAAUAUUUUAUUGUAAGUAAGAGCAAUAAUCAUUACUAUUAGCAUCACUGUAGAAUCUGUCACCAUAAAAUUUAUCCUAAUUAUUAAGGAAAAUAUUGCUGUUGUCUUUUAACCAAUUUUCUAUCUCUUAUGCAUAAUAAAACAAAACCCUUAGUUGAAAAAUAUAGUAUAUUUGUAAUGGAAAAAGUUAUAAUGCAUGAAGAUCUUACUCUUAUAACAUUUGUGAUUUCUCUAACUUACUUUUUUGAAUUUAGCAUUCUAGUAUUUAUUCUUUCUGGAAAAAUACAGGUGUAAAAUAAAAUCUAGACUUUUCUUGCCACUUAAUGUUAUUAAUUUGUAUUAGAACAGCCUUCCCAUUGAAGAAUGUAGAAAAUCUCUUUGAAGGAGAUGUUAUGAGGCAUCAAGACUUGAGGGAGAAGUCUUAUAAUUGAAUCACUCUGAUGUACACCUGAAACCAACACAAUGUUGUAGAUCAACUAUAUGUCAAUCGAAACAAAGUAAGACUUGAGGGGACGAGAUGGUAGCAAGAAGAAAAGAACAGAGAGAUGAUUUUCACAUUCAGCUCUGCUUUUUACCUUUGAGGUAUUUGCUGAUUGGUAGGUAAUGUCAAGCAGGCUGAAAAGCUGAACUGAACUUUCAGCAUUUUCAGAGCACUGGUGGAGAAAAAAAGUCACUGGAUUUCAAGGCCCACCGAGGCUUUAGUAGAGGCCUGUGAAGGGUGAUACCUUAGGUAUGAAAGAAAAACUGAAAUAGGUAUGUCUUCACUUUGAAAUUGCUUCAAAAAGCAUAUCCCCAGAUUAAAUUAAAGUCAUCUGUCUGCCAGAAGCAAAAGUCAGUCCUCUUGGAGAUAGAUCAUACCACCCAGAUUCUUAAAUAAUCUCUAUGAUUUUUGAUUUUGAUACGAAAUAUGCUGCAG